UUUCAGUUUCAGAAACUAUUCCCAUGUACCUUUGUAGUGAUGCCUGUUAAGGUUCAUAUAUUAAUCUACUCACCCAAUCAUUUUACACCCUGUCUGGUAAUGUGGAGAUCUAGCUUUUAAUGAAGGGGGAUUAGCUCAGAUGGUAGAGCGCUCGCUUAGCAUGCGAGAGGUAGCGGGAUCGAUGCCCGCAUCCUCCAAAUGCUGCUCUGUUUUCAGUUUCAGAAACUAUUCCCAUGUACCUUUGUAGUGAUGCCUGUUAAGGUUCAUAUAUUAAUCAACUCAUCCAAUCAUUUUACACCCUGUCUGGUAAUGCGGCGAUCUCAGCUUUAAAGAAGGGGGAUUAGCUCAGAAGGUAGAGCGCUUGCUUAGCAUGCGAGAGGUAGCGGGAUCGAUGCCUGCAUCCUCCAAAUGCUGCUCUGUUUUCAGUUUCAGAAACUCUCCCUCAGUACCUUUGUAGGGAUGCCUGUAAAGGUUCAUCCAUUUAUCUACUCAGGCAUUCAUCUUAC
Long non-coding RNA from Ictalurus punctatus (channel catfish), 506 nucleotides. The record is from Ensembl. Lineage: Eukaryota; Metazoa; Chordata; Actinopteri; Siluriformes; Ictaluridae.